UGGGGAAUCUUGCACAAUGGGGGAAACCCUGAUGCAGCGACGCCGCGUGAGCGAUGAAGGUUUUCGAAUCGUAAGCUCUGUCCUAUGGGAAGAUAAUGACGGUACCAUAGGAGGAAGCCCCGGCUAACUACGUGCCAGCAGCCGCGGUAAUACGUAGGGGGCGAGCGUUGUCCGGAAUUACUGGGCGUAAAGGGUUCGCAGGCGGCAUGACAAGUCCGAUGUAAAAGGCGAAAGCUCAACUUUCGUAAGCAUCGGAAACUGUCAAGCUUGAGUGAAGGAGAGGCAAGUGGAAUUCCUAGUGUAGCGGUGGAAUGCGUAGAUAUUAGGAGGAAUACCGGUGGCGAAGGCGACUUGCUGGACUUCAACUGACGCUGAGGAACGAAAGCGUGGGUAGCAAACAGG
RNAcentral lists this ribosomal RNA (402 nucleotides) under bacterium. Its description in RNAcentral is "partial 16S ribosomal RNA". It matches the Rfam family "Bacterial small subunit ribosomal RNA", at positions 355 to 776 of the family's 1533-position model. The record is from RNAcentral.